UGGGAUUUACUUUAUCAAGUCCAAGAACCAAGGAAUUCUAGAAUAUGUUGAUUGAGAAUAAGCUGAAAAUAGUCAAGGAGAAAUAAAAUAAACCAAAUCAAUCAUUUACAAAAGAUAUUGUACUAACUAUUGAUUUUAUUAAUAAAUUCACUAUUAUACCAAAUGUGUCAUUUACAAAAGAUACUAUACCAAAUCAAUCCAUUUAUUUAUCAAUAAAUCAAACCAAAUCAAUCAUUUAUCCAUAAAUUCGCAAUCCAAAAAUGGGUAAUUCAGUAACAUCUCUAAGGCCAAAGCUAUCAUAUUGUUAGAUAUAAUUAGAUUUAAACAUUAGUUUAACUAGUUCAAAUUUUAAAUUUAAAAAAUAAACUUAAACAAGAAAUAAAAUAUAUUUUUCUAAAUAGAUCAAACAUAAGAUUUUUAUAUUUGAAUCCAACCUUUGUUUUAUACUGUCUAACACUUUUUCAAAAACACCACAACACAGUCUACAAGCAAAUAAAUCUAAGAAAACAUUUCUGCUAAAUUAAAAAAAAAACAAUAGGAAGGUAAGAUUUUUUUUCUUUUUUUAAAACAUAAAAUUGAACUAUUAUUUAGAAAACAUACGGCAAACAAAAACAAAAACAUCAAAUUGAACUAUUAUUUCGAAAACAUGCGGCAAAAACAAAAAAAAACAAAACCAUGGCCCAAACAUAAGUCUCUACUCCAUUCCACCAACAAACACAACAAAAAUCAGGUUAGACUUUUGAAAACAUUAGAGAAAAUAGUACAAAAAGCUUAAAAUAAAGGUUUUGGUUAUGCCUUAGCUAGUUUUGAGCUGAAAAGGAUGGGGAGAGAUGUCGGAGGAGAGUUAACAGAAAGUCUUGAUGAAAAUAAGAAUGAGUUGUUUCAAACUGGUUUGAGAGAGGCCACAGUUGACUGGAAACUUAUCAGGGAUUGAAUAAUGCAUACAUUUAUAUUAGUUUUGAUAGGAAAAUGGAGAAACAACCGUUGAAGAUGAGGGCCGUUCCAACAGAAGAUGAAGGAUCUGCUUGUUCCUCUUGUAGGAACUUACACUUAGGUCCAGAACUUGAAAGAAAAGAAAAGGAGAAAUUGGAACACAUGUAUGAAAACGUCAGGCAGCCUUGGUAGUAAUGCAACAAAUAAGAGUACUAUUGGUUUCAAAAACAAUCAGCACUAGCAAGUAAAUUUGACCAGAAAAACAGGCAAACAUUAACUGUAAUAUCUAAGGAAAAAAUAAUACAAGAUUAUAGUUUAAGAUAAAAGAUAGCUGAUUUGUAAUGCCAAAAUAUUUCAAAAAGCCAAAUACAUGGUCAAACAAGAACUGAUUAGGAUAAUGAGAACUUUUCGAAUGUGCCAAAACAAAGACACAAAUAGCCUGGGCAGCAAUGCAUUAAUCAAACUUAGGAAUAUUAAAUCAAGACCACUAACAAUCAAUUCCAAAAUGAUCUUUAAGGAACCAUAAACAUGAAACGACAACACAAACACAAAUCCGUAAACAUGCAUAGGAUUCAUUAAAAGAAAAAAGUACAUAUGCGUUUGUGUUUGUGUGUGUGUGUGCAUGUAUACAUAUUUACAGUCUAGUACUUUUAGUUGUUCCAAGGAAAAAGAUCAAAAGGAAACAAAUAAUAAUGUAAACUGAAAGUCUAAAAAAUAACCUUUACUCAUACUUCACAAUCCAAACUGUAAAGCAAUUGAAACCCCCAUUUUAAGUAUUAUCCAGUUUGGCAAAACAAUCUUCUAAUUAUUUGCAGAAAAAAAGAAUAGAAAUCGAAAAGAUGAGACUUCAUCAUCAAUCAAUCAAAAUUCAAACUGUUUACCAAGUAAACCACUAAAUUCAGCAGGAAAAGAAAAUCAAAGCAACAUCAUUUAUCAAUUAAAAUCAUCAAUUUUUUAAGGAUAAAACACAUUAACAUGGCAUAUAGCUAAAUUAAAAACAACCCAAAAGCUUACAUUGUAUCGUCAUGAUAGUUUAUUCCACCACUAAUUCAAUUCUAUUAGUUUCAAUCCAUUGUUUAGCUAAUUCUUCAAAAACCCAAUUUUCAAAACCUUAAAUUUAUUUCCAAUUUUGCAUAAAAAAGUUCAUAUAUUUUUUUCAAGGACAAAACACAUGAAACACGAAAUAUAGCUAAAUAAAACGACCCCAGAAGCUUACAUUUCAAUGCCUCCAAAUUUAUCCCAAUUUUGCAUCGAAAAUUCAAUUUUUUUAAGGAUAAAACAAUGAAAUAUGAAAUAUAGCUAAAUUAAAAGAACCCCGAAGUUUACAUUACAGCACAAAUAAAACACUCACAGAAAAGUUUUUCUUUUUAAGAAAAUAAAAGAAAAAAUACUUAAAAAAUGGGAAAAGAAAAAGUGAUGGAGCACUAACCAUGAAAUUGGGGUUUGGUGAAUAAGCUUGGAGGAGUAAUCAGAUUCCACUGUAGCUAAGGCUCCAAUCUACUGUUAUUCACCUCAAAAUGAAAUUAGUCAAAUAAUAAACCACAAUUAGAAUCUAAGGGAAAGAACAUGCAAGUAUUCAAUCCUCGUGAAAUGCAGAUGAACAUUAAGCCCAAACAACAAUUAGAAUCUAUCACACCCAAAUCGGCAAAACACGAUCUUAAUCUUAAGACAUAAAUUAUGCAACAAAUCGCCGAAAACAUUGAAGAGCUGGGCAGGUGCCGAAAACAUUUUCAAAAAAAAAAAAGAUCAAACAGUUUCGUAAAUUCAUAAAUGGGAUACCUUUUAAGCUUUUAAGCACCGGAGGGUUGCCUCAAAGCAGUAGCAGAGGAGGGUUGCCUGGAUGAGAAAUCAAAUUUCUGUUCUUUUCAGCCAAAAGCACGUUUGUGGGAGAAAGAAAGUUUGUGUGGGAGAAGACGACAGGUUAAUUUAGUCAAUUUUCAGCCAAAAGCACUUCAAGCUAAAGAAAAGGAGAAAUUUUUAGCUUUUCAUCUGGAGAGAAGUCCAUUUUUAUGGUGAAAUAAUAUGGAGAGAAGGAAGCUGUUCUUCAUUUCUUUUAAGGGAAAAUGACUUUUUCAAUUAAAAGUCCUUCUAAAAUGGGCAAAAGAACGGGGCCUAAGGCAACAAUCGUCAUUCUCCGGAAGUGUCCUAGCCAAAGCAUAUUAAAGCAAAGGCUCUAUAACAUGGAAGCCAGGAUGAAUUGAGCUUUCUCCACUGUGGCUUUCACAAAUAGGAGAAAAUAAUUGGUCCGUUUUAACUUUCUUGAUGAUACAAGAAGCUGAAACAGAUGGGGUCUCAGACGCUGGAACUUGCUUUCUAAACUAGCACCCCAACUCUUCAUCGUUCGAAUUCUCUUUCUCACUGAAUUAAGGGAAUGAAAGAACGGGCCACGGUUGCAGCAAAUAAGAGAAAUGUAUAUUCUUGUUGUCAACCAAUAAUUGAUGGUUUCAGCUUCAAGUUCCUUAAUAGCACUAAACUGAUGAUUGUUGCCUCAGCUCUCAAUAAACCAUAACUUGUUAGCUCCCCGACUCCGUACUUGGACAACCCUCCAACAUUUGAGGAAGGACUUUAAACUUAUAGUGGUUAAAAUGUUCAACAACUAGGGAUGAUUCGAAGUUCUUAAUUUUGUAGCUUAUUCUAAGGAGGAAAAUGAAGUUAGUCUCUUCUUGCAGAUGACUAUUAGAAAUUAUUUUAGGGAAG
This 3630-nucleotide long non-coding RNA is filed under the name Gossypium barbadense (sea-island cotton). Its description in RNAcentral is "long non-coding RNA (GBAR_LNC020590)". Lineage: Eukaryota; Viridiplantae; Streptophyta; Magnoliopsida; Malvales; Malvaceae. The record is from RNAcentral.